GGCCUUGAUGGUGUAGUGGUAGCACGCACACCCCGCAAGGGUGAAUCACGAGUUCAACUUCCGCCUGAGGUCA
Molecule: non-coding RNA, 73 nt
Organism: Parelaphostrongylus tenuis
Lineage: Eukaryota; Metazoa; Nematoda; Chromadorea; Rhabditida; Metastrongylidae
Source: the annotation of a GenBank genome assembly